This is a non-coding RNA of Exiguobacterium sp. AT1b, 268 nucleotides long. Lineage: Bacteria; Bacillati; Bacillota; Bacilli; Caryophanales. The record is from Rfam.
CCGUGCUAGGUGGGGAGGUAGCGGUGCCCUGUCACUCGCAAUCCGCUGUAGCGAGACUGAAUCCCGAUUCGAGGGAGUGCGCUGGUGUGGUCUGCCUUAUGUAAGUGGCGUUGACGUCUGAGUCCUGCGCAACGGUCACCCAUGAACCAGGUCAGGUCCGGAAGGAAGCAGCCUUAAGUGGUGACGUACCGUGUGCCGCAGGGGUGCUUGGGCUGAGCAAACUGCAUGAGUAACGCAUGUUGACGUGCUUUCAGAAAUCGGUGCGCGG